This 2434-nucleotide long non-coding RNA is filed under the name Toxoplasma gondii VEG. The record is from RNAcentral. Lineage: Eukaryota; Apicomplexa; Conoidasida; Eucoccidiorida; Sarcocystidae.
CUGGGGAGGCGACGGAACCGUCGGAAGACCCCGUCGGCAACAGUCUCCGCGAAGCGGUUUGCAUGCGCCUGCGUCUGCUCCAUCAGGAGUUUUUGUCGCCUUUUGUCGCGCUCCUUCCGAGAUACUUCCUGCGCGCGCCGCGCCGCAUGCAGUCGCGCAAGCAUCUUCAUGUUCUCCUGCCUUCCGAAGCUGGGAGACGCGAGUUUAGAGAGAGAGGCGAGGAGCGACCCGGGGCUUCGUAGGUAUUCGCCAGACACAGAGACACCGGCACUCCCCGAGUGGCUCAGACCGAGGCGCUGGAGAUUCAUUUCAAACGUUUCAAUGUCUUUUUUGACAGCCUCCCGAGUGUCUCGCUCCUUCGCUUGAGCUCGACUCAGCCGCUCCUCUCGCACUCGGGCUUCCAGGAGCACCCGGCGACGAAGAAUCUCCGUCUCAACUUCUCUUCGCUUCUCUCUCUCAUCUCGCUCUCCUUGCCCUCGCUGUCCUCGUUGUUCUUCGCUUUGUUCUCCUCUCCGUUCAUCUCGUUCUUCUCCUUUGUCUUUCUUAUCUCGGGUGGAUUUCGAGGACACCCUGCCGCUUCGGUUUGCGCCUGGCGCGGUCGGGGCUUCAAUGUCGCCUUCUGCUCUGUGUCUUCCCUGCUCCCGGUCUCUUCUGGUUGUGGAUUCUCGCUGUGGGAAGUGUGUGUGGCUGGUUCGCGAGAGAGGCGAGGCAGAAACCUCGUGCGAAGUUUCGUUUUUGAUCGCAGCGUUCGUCCGCGUCUGUGACUGCCUGUCCCCAGAUGUCCACGAGGAUUUGCCUAUCUCGACUUUGCUCAGAACCGGGUGAGUCUCCGCCUCGGUGCUCGUCUUGGUGAUCUCCUUCAGGCGCGCUUCGACGCAGCGCGCUUGGAAGGCCUCAAAGGCGGGAGCGUGUGCGGCAGGUCUCAGGACUCGCGCGAGAUCUGACGGGGUUCGGCCACAGUUUCUGGAGAAGCGACUGAGAGCGACUUUCAGCUGAAACAGCACACGCAGAGCUGCGCCCUCGCGCGCCUCAAUAACCGCCUGCAUCUUGACGGAAUCGAACUUGAUGUCCAGGCGACGAAAGACCGGCUCCAAGAGACAAAAAUUCCUCACCACCGCACUCGCUGCGGAACUGUCUACGAAUCCGCUGAUGUUGUCCAGCUGCUUCACAGCCACCAGCAACUCGCCGAAGAGGAAGCCGGAGGCAAAGUCGCUCUCCAAAUGCACCACCUUCCUCGACAGAGGAAAACUGUUUACCCACGCUAGCAUCAAGUCCGCCAUGUCCUUCAAAAUUCGCAGAGAAAAACGAGGAGACAGGGGCAGGGCACUGACCGACGGAGGGUGCGACGCAGCGCCCUAGCGGCGAGAUUGACCGAAUCUUUGAGUUUCUCCGACGUGCGACAGGAGACUCGCUCGCAGGGCGGAGAGAUGAGAGAAGGAAGGAACGUGAGGCCAGGAAAGAAUUCAGAACAGAAAGUGUUGAAGGAAGUGAGGAAAUGAGGGGAGGCGGAAAAGAGACAGUCAGUGGGGGAAACGCGCGGAAGUGGAUCAGCGGACAGAAAGACAAGAGAGCGAAUAUGUCAUGCAGUGCGAAGAAACAAACACGAAAUCGAGAGAGGCGACAGCAACGUGUCGGGAGCUCUCGGGGAGACAACAGUUGGUUGCGAUUCUUAAAGAGAGAAAAACGUUCUUCGUCAAAGCUGAAAGGCAGUGACGUUCACAGGUUCCUGACUUCGGAGAUGCAGCUCGGACAACGCACAGCAAGAAGGCAGUUGCCGUCUAGGAACCACAGACAGGUUGGAGGUCGGCUCUGUCGAAAGGGAGAGAAAAUUGAAAACCAUAGCUGUGCCAAUGCGCCAUUUCGUUUCUCCUUUUAAGUCGAGAAAAAGCAGACUUUUCUGUCACUUAAAACGAACAGAAAAGAGAGUCUUAGCUGCGCAGAGUUUUUAUGUAUAACUUCUGGGAACCUCUUGAACUCAGGACAACCUCAACUUUCGUUGUUCUAACUUUCCCUAAACCCUCUGCCGUUGUGUUCCCCUGUUGUUCUGCCUGUUUUCCGAUUAGACAACGGAUAAAGGGUUUUGCUCCUCACGUGCCUACGUUGUUUCCAGAACAAACUCCGUCUGCAUUCGUUCCUACGAGAACAUCUUUUGCACACCAUCCGUGACCUUUGUUUCCUCCAAAGACUGGAGAAAGCCAAGCGCAACCGGAGAAUCCAGGGAAGCGACGCGGCCCCGCUUGGUUUAGGUGUCUUGUUUGGUUUUUCCAUUCCCACAGAAGAAGCGUCCGUCCAGACACGAAAGCGUGUGAGGCUGUGAAGACACACCCACAAAUCCACGGAAUUUCCUUGCCGCCGACCCGGAAAAUACAGAAAGAGGCACAGAAAGGCGCAAGGGUCACGAAACAGUCCAGCGUUUCCUGGGGGGCCCCGCGCU